Molecule: ribosomal RNA, 497 nt
Filed under: uncultured bacterium
Lineage: Bacteria
Description: partial 16S ribosomal RNA
Rfam family: Bacterial small subunit ribosomal RNA
Source: RNAcentral
GAUGAACGCUGGCGGCGUGCCUAAUACAUGCAAGUCGAGCGAACGGACGAGGAGCUUGCUCCUCUGAUGUUAGCGGCGGACGGGUGAGUAACACGUGGAUAACCUACCUAUAAGACUGGGAUAACUUCGGGAAACCGGAGCUAAUACCGGAUAAUAUUUUGAACCGCAUGGUUCAAUAGUGAAAGACGGUUUUGCUGUCACUUAUAGAUGGAUCCGCGCCGCAUUAGCUAGUUGGUAAGGUAACGGCUUACCAAGGCAACGAUGCAUAGCCGACCUGAGAGGGUGAUCGGCCACACUGGAACUGAGACACGGUCCAGACUCCUACGGGAGGCAGCAGUAGGGAAUCUUCCGCAAUGGGCGAAAGCCUGACGGAGCAACGCCGCGUGAGUGAUGAAGGUCUUCGGAUCGUAAAACUCUGUUAUUAGGGAAGAACAAAUGUGUAAGUAACUAUGCACGUCUUGACGGUACCUAAUCAGAAAGCCACGGCUAACUACGUG